UGAGGAAUAUUGCGCAAUGGACGAAAGUCUGACGCAGCAACGCCGCGUGAGGGAUGAAGCUCUUAGGAGUGUAAACCUUUUUUAGGAGGGAAGAACGGGUAGCAUUCGAACAGGGUGUUACUGUGACGGUACCUCCAGAAUAAGCCCCGGCUAACUCCGUGCCAGCAGCCGCGGUAAUACGGGGGGGGCUAGCGUUGUCCGGAAUUAUUGGGCGUAAAGGGCGCGUAGGCGGGGUAGUCAGUCUGAGGUGAAAGCCCAGGGCUUAACUCUGGGUUUGCCUUGGAUACUGCUAUUCUUGAGUUCGGCAGAGUGAAGUGGAAUUCCUGGUGUAGCGGUGAAAUGCGUAGAUAUCAGGAAGAACACCGGUGGCGAAGGCGGCUUCCUGGUCCGAUACUGACGCUGAGGCGCGAAAGCGUGGGGAGCGAACA
This 428-nucleotide ribosomal RNA is filed under the name uncultured bacterium. RNAcentral describes it as "bacterial SSU rRNA". It matches the Rfam family "Bacterial small subunit ribosomal RNA", at positions 355 to 774 of the family's 1533-position model. The record is from RNAcentral.